Molecule: long non-coding RNA, 228 nt
Filed under: Gallus gallus (chicken)
Lineage: Eukaryota; Metazoa; Chordata; Aves; Galliformes; Phasianidae
Source: RNAcentral
GCAGAAGCCUCAUGGAUUUCUGUGCCAUCGUAGACACCACAGCCAGACAAGACCACAGCGACGCGGGCGCCGCGAGGGCGGCGGGCGGAGCAGUGGAAGGAGGCGAAGCCGCAGGGCGCUGCCCGCCGCAGCGCGGAGCACAGGGCCGGCCCGCGGGCGGGCAGCAUAGUCGCGGGGGCUCGGAGCGAGGCCGGAGGGCUGACGGAACGCGGAGCCGGAGCAAGGCAG